Gossypium raimondii (Peruvian cotton) is the source of this 1820-nucleotide RNA transcript. It is a transcript of the gene named COP9 signalosome complex subunit 7, with no coding region annotated. The transcript is spliced from 9 exons. NCBI's taxonomy places the organism in Eukaryota, Viridiplantae, Streptophyta, Magnoliopsida, Malvales, Malvaceae. The record is from RefSeq and is a predicted model, not a curated record.
UGAACAACUGUUUUUGUGCCGGUCUCAAAACGCGGGGGCCAUUUUACUAGUUCUCAGGAAACUAUCAAAAUCCCACAAAUUCUACAAAAAAUUCAGCAUUUUUAUUUAUUUAUUCAAACUUUUAAAGGCUUUCCGUCGCUUAAUCAACCGACUUCAGCACCAAUCCAAACUCUUAAUUUCCAUUCACAUUUUUCAAAAUUAAAUUUAUUUAAUUAUUAAUUUUCCUUCUGUGUGUGAUUUGGGAGGCUGUUUCUGAAGAUGGAAAUCGAGGAAAAACAAGCAGAGGUAAUUGAUCAUUUCGUGAAGCAAGCAUCAGCUCAGAAGGGCUCGGCCCUUGGCUCCGUUGUCGUUGAAGCGACGUCGCAUCCUUCACUUUUCGCCUUCUCUGAGAUUCUUGCUGUGCCCACUGUCGCUGAGCUAGAAGGAACUGACAAUUCGGUGCACCUUGAGGUGCUUCGAUUGUUUGCACAUGGAACAUGGAGCGAUUAUAAGAGAAAUAGCUGUAAGCUUCCUCAACUGGUCCCAGAUCAAGUUCUCAAGUUAAAGCAACUUACUGUCCUUACACUUGCUGAGACAAAAAAGGUACUAUCUUAUGAUCAGCUAAUGCUGGAGUUAGAUGUCACAAAUGUCCGUGAACUUGAAGAUUUUCUAAUCAAUGACUGCAUGUAUGCUGGUCUAGUUAGAGGAAAGCUGGAUCAGCUGCGAAGAUAUUUUGAGGUUCAAUUUGCUGCUGGGAGGGAUUUGAGGCCAGGACAACUUGGAAGUAUGAUACAAACACUAUCAAACUGGUUGGCUACGUCAGAUAACUUACUUGUCACAAUUCAAGACAAGAUAAAAUGGGCUGAUACAAUGAGUGAGUUGGACAAGAAACACCGAAAGGAGCUUGAAGAUAGGGUGCUGGAAGUAAAGAAAGCUGUCUCCGUCAAGGAGGGGUGGUCAUGGGAAAGAGAGUUCUUUAAUUCUUCCAAAAAUGCUUAGACAGAAAAAGUUUGGAGCUUAAAGCUGCAACUUGUUAAGAUGCAAAUGAGUGAGCUUAACUGGAUCUAGGAUUAGCAUGCCAUGACUUUACUCGUUCGAUAUCGAGGUAUGUUGGUCGAUGAGGCUUAUAUUGUGCCAGAAGUUACAGACUGCAAGCAGGCCAAUACUGGCUUCCAAGGGCUCAAUGAAAUCAACUCUGAACCUGGUGGAAUGAUGGACUUUGAGGAAGACCAGAGCCGACACAAGAGGAGAAGGCAUCUGAUGUCCUGAAGAUAGAACAUGCAACUUAUUGGACGGCGUUUAGAAGACCAACCAGAUUUUUGUUCACGAUAGUCCCAGUAACCAAUGAUUCUGCUUUUCAGGCAGUGAUAGUGCUGCUUUGGUAGUGAAUUUGACAAUUGUGGCGUUAUAAUUUCAGAAUUGUUAGCAUAUCGUAAACCCAUUGCUAUUCCUAUUGAGUUGGGAAAGAUAGGACAAAACACAGACCCAAAAUUUAGAACACUUAGAUAUCCAAGAUUUACAAAUUCAAGUUAUUUCACUUUUUAAUCAUGCACUUCAUGCUGCAUCAUGAAGAUUAUAUCAUUGCUUAUUGCUUUGUAUGGCUGAUAGUUCCAUUAUGUUAGAAAAGUUGGACUUGAGCGUUCUUGUUUCCCAUACUUUGUUUAUCGGGGCUGCCUGAUCUAAUCUUUGAAUGCAACAGUGCAGUAUGACUCGGCCAUUCUAGGGUCCAUUGAGAAACUCAAACCACCCAGAGGGAGGAAACCGAGUGGAAGCUGCUUUGGACUUGCGUCAUACGGCAUUGGAGUUUUGAUCAUUCUCUGGCUGCCACUUUGCUUUUAUAA